UCCNGGCUUGUUGUUUGGUGUAUACAGGA
This 29-nucleotide non-coding RNA is filed under the name Rattus norvegicus (Norway rat). Lineage: Eukaryota; Metazoa; Chordata; Mammalia; Rodentia; Muridae. The record is from RNAcentral.